RNAcentral lists this ribosomal RNA (253 nucleotides) under uncultured bacterium. RNAcentral describes it as "partial 16S ribosomal RNA". It matches the Rfam family "Bacterial small subunit ribosomal RNA", at positions 524 to 776 of the family's 1533-position model. The record is from RNAcentral.
UACGUAGGGUGCAAGCGUUGUCCGGAAUUAUUGGGCGUAAAGAGCUCGUAGGCGGUCUGUCGCGUCUGCUGUGAAAACUCAGGGCUUAACCCUGAGCUUGCAGUGGGUACGGGCAGACUAGAGUGCGGUAGGGGAGACUGGAAUUCCAGGUGUAGCGGUGAAAUGCGUAGAUAUCUGGAGGAACACCGGUGGCGAAGGCGGCAUCCUGGACCGGCAUUGACGCUGAGGAGCGAAAGCCAGGGGAGCAAACGGG